GAUGAACGCUGGCGGCGUGCCUAAUACAUGCAAGUCGAGCGAACAGACGAAGAGCUUGCUCCUCUGACGUUAGCGGCGGACGGGUGAGUAACACGUGGAUAACCUACCUAUAAGACUGGGAUAACUUCGGGAAACCGGAGCUAAUACCGGAUAAUAUAUUGAACCGCAUGGUUCAAUAGUGAAAGACGGUUUUGCUGUCACUUAUAGAUGGAUCCGCGCCGCAUUAGCUAGUUGGUAAGGUAACGGCUUACCAAGGCAACGAUGCGUAGCCGACCUGAGAGGGUGAUCGGCCACACUGGAACUGAGACACGGUCCAGACUCCUACGGGAGGCAGCAGUAGGGAAUCUUCCGCAAUGGGCGAAAGCUUGACGGAGCAACGCCGCGUGAGUGGUGAAGGUCUUCGGAUCGUAAAACUCUGUUAUUAGGGAAGAACAAAUGUGUAAGUAACUAUGCACGUCUUGACGGUACCUAAUCAGAAAGCCACGGCUAACUACGUG
This 497-nucleotide ribosomal RNA is filed under the name uncultured bacterium. Its description in RNAcentral is "partial 16S ribosomal RNA". It matches the Rfam family "Bacterial small subunit ribosomal RNA", at positions 28 to 507 of the family's 1533-position model. The record is from RNAcentral.